Molecule: long non-coding RNA, 298 nt
Filed under: Dasypus novemcinctus (nine-banded armadillo)
Lineage: Eukaryota; Metazoa; Chordata; Mammalia; Cingulata; Dasypodidae
Description: lncRNA (ENSDNOG00000050561.1)
Source: RNAcentral
CUCGACCCGGAAGGGAAAGUGAGAAGCUGCAGAAGCAAGCUUCUAGAAGGCUCUAGUGAGACGCAAGCGGGUUUGGCGUUGCUCAAACCCGACCUCUUCACAAGAUCUGCAUUUUAUUUGUAGGCUUCUUGGAAAAGCACCACCCAACCAUACUCUUGAUAUGAUGCCCUUACAAUUUCUUGACAUGCAUCGGUACUCUACAGUACUCAAACCCUCGGACUACGGCACAAUCCUCAGGUGAGAGCAGACCCAUACAAGAAAAACAAAACUAACUACAUGUUGAAUUCUAAGCAAGCUU